RNAcentral lists this ribosomal RNA (2775 nucleotides) under Escherichia coli. RNAcentral's name for it is "bacterial LSU rRNA". It matches the Rfam family "Bacterial large subunit ribosomal RNA". The record is from RNAcentral. Lineage: Bacteria; Pseudomonadati; Pseudomonadota; Gammaproteobacteria; Enterobacterales; Enterobacteriaceae.
AGCGUACACGGUGGAUGCCCUGGCAGUCAGAGGCGAUGAAGGACGUGCUAAUCUGCGAUAAGCGUCGGUAAGGUGAUAUGAACCGUUAUAACCGGCGAUUUCCGAAUGGGGAAACCCAGUGUGUUUCGACACACUAUCAUUAACUGAAUCCAUAGGUUAAUGAGGCGAACCGGGGGAACUGAAACAUCUAAGUACCCCGAGGAAAAGAAAUCAACCGAGAUUCCCCCAGUAGCGGCGAGCGAACGGGGAGCAGCCCAGAGCCUGAAUCAGUGUGUGUGUUAGUGGAAGCGUCUGGAAAGGCGCGCGAUACAGGGUGACAGCCCCGUACACAAAAAUGCACAUGCUGUGAGCUCGAUGAGUAGGGCGGGACACGUGGUAUCCUGUCUGAAUAUGGGGGGACCAUCCUCCAAGGCUAAAUACUCCUGACUGACCGAUAGUGAACCAGUACCGUGAGGGAAAGGCGAAAAGAACCCCGGCGAGGGGAGUGAAAAAGAACCUGAAACCGUGUACGUACAAGCAGUGGGAGCACGCUUAGGCGUGUGACUGCGUACCUUUUGUAUAAUGGGUCAGCGACUUAUAUUCUGUAGCAAGGUUAACCGAAUAGGGGAGCCGAAGGGAAACCGAGUCUUAACUGGGCGUUAAGUUGCAGGGUAUAGACCCGAAACCCGGUGAUCUAGCCAUGGGCAGGUUGAAGGUUGGGUAACACUAACUGGAGGACCGAACCGACUAAUGUUGAAAAAUUAGCGGAUGACUUGUGGCUGGGGGUGAAAGGCCAAUCAAACCGGGAGAUAGCUGGUUCUCCCCGAAAGCUAUUUAGGUAGCGCCUCGUGAAUUCAUCUCCGGGGGUAGAGCACUGUUUCGGCAAGGGGGUCAUCCCGACUUACCAACCCGAUGCAAACUGCGAAUACCGGAGAAUGUUAUCACGGGAGACACACGGCGGGUGCUAACGUCCGUCGUGAAGAGGGAAACAACCCAGACCGCCAGCUAAGGUCCCAAAGUCAUGGUUAAGUGGGAAACGAUGUGGGAAGGCCCAGACAGCCAGGAUGUUGGCUUAGAAGCAGCCAUCAUUUAAAGAAAGCGUAAUAGCUCACUGGUCGAGUCGGCCUGCGCGGAAGAUGUAACGGGGCUAAACCAUGCACCGAAGCUGCGGCAGCGACGCUGAUGCGUUGUUGGGUAGGGGAGCGUUCUGUAAGCCUGUGAAGGUGUGCUGUGAGGCAUGCUGGAGGUAUCAGAAGUGCGAAUGCUGACAUAAGUAACGAUAAAGCGGGUGAAAAGCCCGCUCGCCGGAAGACCAAGGGUUCCUGUCCAACGUUAAUCGGGGCAGGGUGAGUCGACCCCUAAGGCGAGGCCGAAAGGCGUAGUCGAUGGGAAACAGGUUAAUAUUCCUGUACUUGGUGUUACUGCGAAGGGGGGACGGAGAAGGCUAUGUUGGCCGGGCGACGGUUGUCCCGGUUUAAGCGUGUAGGCUGGUUUUCCAGGCAAAUCCGGAAAAUCAAGGCUGAGGCGUGAUGACGAGGCACUACGGUGCUGAAGCAACAAAUGCCCUGCUUCCAGGAAAAGCCUCUAAGCAUCAGGUAACAUCAAAUCGUACCCCAAACCGACACAGGUGGUCAGGUAGAGAAUACCAAGGCGCUUGAGAGAACUCGGGUGAAGGAACUAGGCAAAAUGGUGCCGUAACUUCGGGAGAAGGCACGCUGAUAUGUAGGUGAAGUCCCUCGCGGAUGGAGCUGAAAUCAGUCGAAGAUACCAGCUGGCUGCAACUGUUUAUUAAAAACACAGCACUGUGCAAACACGAAAGUGGACGUAUACGGUGUGACGCCUGCCCGGUGCCGGAAGGUUAAUUGAUGGGGUUAGCCGCAAGGCGAAGCUCUUGAUCGAAGCCCCGGUAAACGGCGGCCGUAACUAUAACGGUCCUAAGGUAGCGAAAUUCCUUGUCGGGUAAGUUCCGACCUGCACGAAUGGCGUAAUGAUGGCCAGGCUGUCUCCACCCGAGACUCAGUGAAAUUGAACUCGCUGUGAAGAUGCAGUGUACCCGCGGCAAGACGGAAAGACCCCGUGAACCUUUACUAUAGCUUGACACUGAACAUUGAGCCUUGAUGUGUAGGAUAGGUGGGAGGCUUAGAAGUGUGGACGCCAGUCUGCAUGGAGCCGACCUUGAAAUACCACCCUUUAAUGUUUGAUGUUCUAACGUUGACCCGUAAUCCGGGUUGCGGACAGUGUCUGGUGGGUAGUUUGACUGGGGCGGUCUCCUCCUAAAGAGUAACGGAGGAGCACGAAGGUUGGCUAAUCCUGGUCGGACAUCAGGAGGUUAGUGCAAUGGCAUAAGCCAGCUUGACUGCGAGCGUGACGGCGCGAGCAGGUGCGAAAGCAGGUCAUAGUGAUCCGGUGGUUCUGAAUGGAAGGGCCAUCGCUCAACGGAUAAAAGGUACUCCGGGGAUAACAGGCUGAUACCGCCCAAGAGUUCAUAUCGACGGCGGUGUUUGGCACCUCGAUGUCGGCUCAUCACAUCCUGGGGCUGAAGUAGGUCCCAAGGGUAUGGCUGUUCGCCAUUUAAAGUGGUACGCGAGCUGGGUUUAGAACGUCGUGAGACAGUUCGGUCCCUAUCUGCCGUGGGCGCUGGAGAACUGAGGGGGGCUGCUCCUAGUACGAGAGGACCGGAGUGGACGCAUCACUGGUGUUCGGGUUGUCAUGCCAAUGGCACUGCCCGGUAGCUAAAUGCGGAAGAGAUAAGUGCUGAAAGCAUCUAAGCACGAAACUUGCCCCGAGAUGAGUUCU